UACGGAGGAUGCAAGCGUUAUCCGGAAUGAUUGGGCGUAAAGGGUCCGCAGGUGGCAGUGUAAGUCUGCUGUUAAAGAGUCUGGCUCAACCAGAUAAGGGCAGUGGAAACUACACAGCUAGAGUUCGAUAGGGGCAGAGGGAAUUCCUGGUGUAGCGGUGAAAUGCGUAGAGAUCAGGAAGAACACCGGUGGCGAAAGCGCUCUGCUAGGUCGCAACUGACACUGAGGGACGAAAGCUAGGGGAGCGAAUGGG
RNAcentral lists this ribosomal RNA (253 nucleotides) under uncultured bacterium. RNAcentral describes it as "partial 16S ribosomal RNA". It matches the Rfam family "Bacterial small subunit ribosomal RNA", at positions 524 to 776 of the family's 1533-position model. The record is from RNAcentral.